AAAAGGACACAAUUGAGUGGAAGGUAACAUGGAUGGAGACAAGAAAAGCUGUGUGUAUCUGGAAGGAGCCCGUACCGCAAACCGACACAGGUAGAUAGGAAGAAGAUUCUAAGGCCAGCGGGAGAAGGGUUGUUAAGGAACUCGGCAAGUUGACCCCGUAACUUCGGGAGAAGGGGUGCUUACGAAGGUAAGCCGCAGAGAAUAGGCCCAAGCGACUGUUUAGCAAAAACACAGCUCUAUGCUAAAUCGAAAGAUGACGUAUAUGGGGUGACACCUGCCCGGUGCUGGAAGGUUAAGAGGAGAUGUGAGAGCAUUGAAUUGAAGCCCCAGUAAACGGCGGCCGUAACAAUAACGGUCCUAAGGUAGCGAAAUUCCUUGUCAGGUAAGUUCUGACCCGCACGAAUGGUGUAACGAUUUGGGCACUGUCUCAACAACCUACCCGGCGAAAUUGUAGUACCGGUGAAGAUGCCGGUUACCCGCGACUAGACGGAAAGACCCCAUGGAGCUUCACUGUAGCUUAAUAUUGAAUUUUGGUAUUUCAUGUACAGGAUAGGUGGGAGACUGGGAAAUACGGGCGUCAGCUUGUAUGGAGUCACUGUUGGGAUACCACUCUUGAGGUGCUGAAAUUCUAACCUGCGUCUUUGAAUCAAGACGGGGGACAUUGUUAGGUGGGCAGUUUGACUGGGGCGGUCGCCUCCAAAAGAGUAACGGAGGCGCUCAAAGGUUCGCUCAGCAUGGACGGAAACCAUGCCAAAGAGUGCAAACGCAAAAGCGAGCCUAACUGCGAGACUGACGGGUCGAGCAGUAACGAAAGUUGGAGUUAGUGAUCCGGCGGUAUGUGAGUGGAAAAGCCGUCGCUCAACGGAUAAAAGCUACCCUGGGGAUAACAGGCUGAUCUCCCCCAAGAGUCCUCAUCGACGGGGAGGUUUGGCACCUCGAUGUCGGCUCAUCGCAUCCUGGGGCUGAAUUCGGUCCCAAGGGUUUGGCUGUUCGCCAAUUAAAGCGGUACGCGAGCUGGGUUCAGAACGUCGUGAGACAGUUCGGUCCCUAUCUGUCGUGGGCGUAGGAUAUUUGAAAGGAGCUGUCCCUAGUACGAGAGGACCGGGAUGGACGCACCUCUGGUGAACCAGUUGUCACGCCAGUGGCACGGCUGGGCAGCUAAGUGCGGAACGGAUAAACGCUGAAAGCAUCUAAGCGUGAAGCCGACCUUAAGAUAAGAUAUCCGUUCUUCGGAAUAAGACCCCUUGUAGACUACGAGGUUGAUAGGCUUAAAGUGUAAGCAUGGUGACAUGUUUAGCUUGCAAGUACUAAUCGGUCGAUUGCUUUUCCAG
RNAcentral lists this ribosomal RNA (1331 nucleotides) under metagenome. RNAcentral describes it as "bacterial LSU rRNA". It matches the Rfam family "Bacterial large subunit ribosomal RNA", at positions 1566 to 2925 of the family's 2925-position model. The record is from RNAcentral.